This is a long non-coding RNA of Spinacia oleracea (spinach), 1108 nucleotides long. RefSeq lists it as uncharacterized. NCBI's taxonomy places the organism in Eukaryota, Viridiplantae, Streptophyta, Magnoliopsida, Caryophyllales, Amaranthaceae. The record is from RefSeq and is a predicted model, not a curated record. The transcript is spliced from 3 exons.
CCAAAUAAUGCGAAAUUACAAAAACGCCAUCAAAGAGACAAAAUUCCACUUCUUUUCUUCCCUUACUCUCCACGUAUAAACCAGGAAGGAGUUCCUUCCUUCCUUCCCUAAAAUCAGUCCAAAUACACUCCUUGGACCCCAAGCUAUGCAUCUUCACCUUCACUCUUCUUAGUUUUAAAAUCAGACAACAAAUUUCCACUUGUUUCCCAACCAAAAUCAAUUCACAAAAAACUGAAAACCAUCCCCCCCUUGUUCCUCCAUCGUUCGAACCACCACCAACAACAACCACCUCAACCACUGACUACCAUCACCACUACCACCGUCCAACAACCACCUCAACCACCCUGACCACCGUCGGCCCCCAGCACCACCGCACACACACCCCACCGUAGCUCCCUUCCCCUUCUCCCUCCUCUCCUUGCGCCUCCCCUGCCUCUUCCUCUUUCCUCUUCGCUGCACCGCCCACGACAACCACCACCACCUCCAGCCACCCUCAUCAUCUCUCCAACCAACCUCCGCCCCUAAAACUCCGGCGAACCACCCUUCCCCUUCCCAAAAUCCCGAUCGAAAAACCCACCAAUCCCCUGUUUUGUCACCCAUUUCGUGCCCCUUUCUCUCUCUCUGUCGUCGUCCCUCCGCCGCCAACCACCAAUCCCCACCGUCACCAUCACCGUCGAAAUAUCCGGCGAACUCAACCCAGCCAGCUGCCACCCUCUCUCCUCCCUUCGUGCUCCCUUGUGCCUUGCUCCCCUCCCCUGUUCGUGCCCCUCUUUUCAAAAAAAAAGAAAAAAAGAAAAGAGAAUCAGUUUCACUUAAACGUGAUUUUUAUUCACCUCAAACCCCUCCAUGAGUUGGGCUAUUUCAAUUUGGGCCUUUGGUGAGAAUUUGGACUCGGAGCUCAGGACGAACGAACCAAGGAAAAUCCUUAGCAAAAUCGUGGAAGUGAGGUACUGAUGGGGACGAUGGACACGAGUAGUGGCGAGGAUUUCACUUUAAUAAUUCCCACCUAGUUUAUGUUUCAAGUUUUAAUAGUUAAUUAAAGAUUUUUAGUAAGUUAUGUACUUUUACUUUGGGUAUUAUAAAGGAUUAUUAUAUAUUUUUGGAGUAA